UAUAAUGCUUCAUAUGCUUGGUCUGUGAUCUCAUUCCUCCCAUGCCUGAUGAUGGGCAAGUACCGAUGUUUGUGGCUGUUGAAGUCUUAGGCUCUUGGCUAUUUCAAAAUUGUUCUUUUGCAAUUUUAAAUUUUUUGUUGGAAUAGAUGUUUAAUUUUGUGGCUUUGACCUGGUCCAUUCAGGAUUUGUUAGAAUAGAUACGUUUACCAGACAAAACUUAUGGAAAUUAUCUGGCUGGUGGUUAUGUUAGCAUUGUCAGUUUCAAUGUCCAUGGCUGUGUAUUUCAUUUUCCUAUGUCUUCAACGGUUUGUUUCUACUGAAUUUCAGCAGCACACUGAUAGAUGAUUAAAAUGCUUGAAUAAAUGAGAAAAAGAAUGCCUAAAUAAAUUUCAUAUUUGUUUGCUGCAAUCACAUGUUUUCCCACGGUGGAUGCUACCUUGAGCAGAUGAAUCGAUGGUCUAGCGUUCUUCUGCACUGAAUUUGUUCCGUGCAUCCUUUAGAAGAUCAAAAACCUUCUCGCAUGUGUAUUUCUGUUUCAUGCUUGCACCCCUUUGCUGCAACUUGUCAGGAUGAACACAAAGAGUG
Molecule: unclassified non-coding RNA, 585 nt
Filed under: Hevea brasiliensis (rubber tree)
Lineage: Eukaryota; Viridiplantae; Streptophyta; Magnoliopsida; Malpighiales; Euphorbiaceae
Source: RNAcentral